UGGCCUGACGUCUCGUCUUCGGUGAACUGAAGUUUAUCCGGGAUUAUGGAACCUGACGAACCAGAGAACAACAUUCCUGACGAAUGGUGGAACUACAUAUGGUCGCCCCGGUUCCUCCAGAUGAAGAACAGUAGCAAUCCUCAAGUCCAGAAAUAUGCAAUAUCGGUAAGC
Non-coding RNA from Penaeus vannamei (Pacific white shrimp), 171 nucleotides. Lineage: Eukaryota; Metazoa; Arthropoda; Malacostraca; Decapoda; Penaeidae. The record is from RefSeq and is a predicted model, not a curated record.